RNAcentral lists this ribosomal RNA (105 nucleotides) under Acidimicrobiaceae bacterium. Its description in RNAcentral is "partial 23S ribosomal RNA". It matches the Rfam family "Bacterial large subunit ribosomal RNA", at positions 2821 to 2925 of the family's 2925-position model. The record is from RNAcentral. Lineage: Bacteria; Bacillati; Actinomycetota; Acidimicrobiia; Acidimicrobiales; Acidimicrobiaceae.
UAACCGGGUAAGGCCCGUGGCAGACCACCACGUUGAUAGGCCGGAGGUGUACGUGCGGUAACGCAUUCAGCCGACCGGUACUAAUCGGCCGAGGGCUUGGUUACA